GUGUAAAUGAGAAUUUAAUAAUUGGAGAAUGAUUUAUUAUCACACCAAAUAUUGAAAGUAUCCACUUCCUUUUUAAGACAUAUUUAUGCACAUUUGAUCAUGUUUUUUGAUUCAUACCUCAACAUUCCUGUGUUGAUAUUGUUUAUUUUUGAUCAUGAUGUUUGCCUGAAAUUUCUGUUCAUGAUCUGUUUUUGUAGAUUCUUUCCUUAAGACAGCCCCACAAGAAGUAAUCUAUUGAUAAGUCUGAUAAUCUGGGGGCCACAAAUUUUUGGAAAUAACACAAUUCGUGAAAAAACUGCUGAUGAGCAUCAUGAACUCAUUGGAGAUGUGGAUUGUGGCACCACUUUGCUGGAAGUAUCCCUGCAUAAUCUGUAUGUCACAUUGUUGCUCCAUGAAAGCUAUGAAAUUGACCAUGUACAUAUCAUUGAUCAUAGUUCCUUCAAAGAAAAUUGGUUUAUUGACUCUUACCAGAAAUUGCAUACCACAUGCCUAUCUUCAAUGGAUGAAGUGAUAUCUCAUAGAACAAUGAGGAUUUCUGAUACCCAAAUCCUCAUGUUUUGAGAAUUUACAUGUACUGAGAGAUGAAACAAGCUUCAUUAGUAAACCACAUCAUUGUCAAUAUUCCAAUGUUUCUUUUCACUAAGUCAAGAAACCAAUUGCAAUAAUAUACAUGCUUGAUUUUGUUAGGCCCUCUUAGCUGAUAUAUAGCUUUCACUCUAUAUGAUCUGAUUUUUCAUGGUUAACCAUUCUUUGACACAUUGUCAAAGAGUAGCCAAUCUCCUAUAACAAUUAGCAUAAUGAUUUCUGGAGGAGCAGAGUAGUCACUAAUGAACAUUUUCUGCAUACUGCAGCCCUCUUGAUGAUGGGUUGUGUUUCACUUUCUCAUUCAGGAAAUGAACCUAUUUCUUUCAGCUUCUUCACAAAUCUUAGAAUUAUCUUCUGGUCAAAACCAUCAAUAAACACCAUAUUCAUGUCAGAAAGCCUUUGCAUGAUCAGUAAUUCUUCAUAAUAAAUACACACUGUUUCAAUUUUUACAACAUAUUACUAUGUUAUAAAGUUACUGUCAAGAGAACUGGUGAGUUAAAGGCCAUCAACACCAGUUGCCACUAUUUGCAGAAAACUCCUACAUUUCAUGUACCAUAUGAAUUCAUUUACAUUUGAUUACCACACAUGGCUAUAAAGUUAUAACUAAUUAAAAAAUAGACUUCCCAUAUAAAUUUUAAAAAAGCA
This 1230-nucleotide long non-coding RNA is filed under the name Androctonus crassicauda. Lineage: Eukaryota; Metazoa; Arthropoda; Arachnida; Scorpiones; Buthidae. The record is from RNAcentral.